UACAGAGGUCUCAAGCGUUGUUCGGAUUCAUUGGGCGUAAAGGGUGCGUAGGUGGCGCCGUAAGUCGGGUGUGAAAUUUCGGAGCUUAACUCCGAAACUGCAUUCGAUACUGCGGUGCUUGAGGACUGGAGAGGAGACUGGAAUUCAUGGUGUAGCAGUGAAAUGCGUAGAGAUCAUGAGGAAGACCAGUGGCGAAGGCAGGUUACUACUAAUGGAUUGACGCUGAUGGACGAAAGCGUGGGUAGCGAACAGG
RNAcentral lists this ribosomal RNA (253 nucleotides) under uncultured bacterium. RNAcentral describes it as "partial 16S ribosomal RNA". It matches the Rfam family "Bacterial small subunit ribosomal RNA", at positions 524 to 776 of the family's 1533-position model. The record is from RNAcentral.